AGAAGGGCGCUUUGGCUUUGGAAGCGGUCCAAGGUUCCUUGGAACAGGACGUCACARAGGGUGAGAAUCCCGUACGUGGUCGCUAGCUAUUGCCGUGUAAAGCCCCUUCGACGAGUCGAGUUGUUUGGGAAUGCAGCUCUAAAUGGGAGGUAAAUUUCUUCUAAAGCUAAAUAUUGGCCAGAGACCGAUAGCGCACAAGUAGAGUGAUCCGAAAGAUGAAAAGCACUUUGGAAAGAGAGUCAAACAGCACGUGAAAUUGUUGAAAGGGAAGCGCUUGCAGCCAGACUUGCUUGCAGUUGCUCAUCCGGGCUUUUGCCCGGUGCACUCUUCUGCAGGCAGGCCAGCAUCAGUUUGGGCGGUGGGAUAAAGGUCUCUGUCACGUACCUUCCUUCGGGUUGGCCUUAUAGGGGAGACGCCAUACCACCAGCCUGGACUGAGGUCCGCGCAUCUGCUAGGAU
RNAcentral lists this ribosomal RNA (458 nucleotides) under Curvularia spicifera. RNAcentral describes it as "LSU rRNA". It matches the Rfam family "Eukaryotic large subunit ribosomal RNA", at positions 151 to 624 of the family's 3401-position model. Lineage: Eukaryota; Fungi; Ascomycota; Dothideomycetes; Pleosporales; Pleosporaceae. The record is from RNAcentral.